CAUGAUGUUGGCUUAGAAGCAGCCAUCAUUUAAAGAAAGCGUAAUAGCUCACUGGUCGAGUCGGCCUGCGCGGAAGAUGUAACGGGGCUAAACCAUGCACCGAAGCUGCGGCAGCGACGUUUAUGCGUUGUUGGGUAGGGGAGCGUUCUGUAAGCCUGCGAAGGUGGCCUGUGAGGGUUGCUGGAGGUAUCAGAAGUGCGAAUGCUGACAUAAGUAACGAUAAAGCGGGUGAAAAGCCCGCUCGCCGGAAGACCAAGGGUUCCUGUCCAACGUUAAUCGGGGCAGGGUGAGUCGACCCCUAAGGCGAGGCCGAAAGGCGUAGUCGAUGGGAAACGGGUUAAUAUUCCCGUACUUGGUGUUACUGCGAAGGGGGGACGGAGAAGGCUAUGUUGGCCGGGCGACGGUUGUCCCGGUUUAAGCGUGUAGGCUGGUUUUCCAGGCAAAUCCGGAAAAUCAAGGCUGAGGCGUGACGACGAGGCACUACGGUGCUGAAGCAACAAAUGCCCUGCUUCCAGGAAAAGCCUCUAAGCAUCAGGUAACAUCAAAUCGUACCCCAAACCGACACAGGUGGUCAGGUAGAGAAUACCAAGGCGCUUGAGAGAACUCGGGUGAAGGAACUAGGCAAAAUGGUGCCGUAACUUCGGGAGAAGGCACGCUGACAUGUAGGUGAAGUGAUUUACUCAUGGAGCUGAAGUCAGUCGAAGAUACCAGCUGGCUGCAACUGUUUAUUAAAAACACAGCACUGUGCAAACACGAAAGUGGACGUAUACGGUGUGACGCCUGCCCGGUGCCGGAAGGUUAAUUGAUGGGGUCAGCGCAAGCGAAGCUCCUGAUCGAAGCCCCGGUAAACGGCGGCCGUAACUAUAACGGUCCUAAGGUAGCGAAAUUCCUUGUCGGGUAAGUUCCGACCUGCACGAAUGGCGUAAUGAUGGCCAGGCUGUCUCCACCCGAGACUCAGUGAAAUUGAACUCGCUGUGAAGAUGCAGUGUACCCGCGGCAAGACGGAAAGACCCCGUGAACCUUUACUAUAGCUUGACACUGAACAUUGAGCCUUGAUGUGUAGGAUAGGUGGGAGGCUUUGAAGUGUGGACGCCAGUCUGCAUGGAGCCGACCUUGAAAUACCACCCUUUAAUGUUUGAUGUUCUAACGUGGACCCGUUACCCGGGUUGCGGACAGUGUCUGGUGGGUAGUUUGACUGGGGCGGUCUCCUCCUAAAGAGUAACGGAGGAGCACGAAGGUUGGCUAAUCCUGGUCGGACAUCAGGAGGUUAGUGCAAUGGCAUAAGCCAGCUUGACUGCGAGCGUGACGGCGCGAGCAGGUGCGAAAGCAGGUCAUAGUGAUCCGGUGGUUCUGAAUGGAAGGGCCAUCGCUCAACGGAUAAAAGGUACUCCGGGGAUAACAGGCUGAUACCGCCCAAGAGUUCAUAUCGACGGCGGUGUUUGGCACCUCGAUGUCGGCUCAUCACAUCCUGGGGCUGAAGUAGGUCCCAAGGGUAUGGCUGUUCGCCAUUUAAAGUGGUACGCGAGCUGGGUUUAGAACGUCGUGAGACAGUUCGGUCCCUAUCUGCCGUGGGCGCUGGAGAACUGAGGGGGGCUGCUCCUAGUACGAGAGGACCGGAGUGGACGCAUCACUGGUGUUCGGGUUGUCAUGCCAAUGGCACUGCCCGGUAGCUAAAUGCGGAAGAGAUAAGUGCUGAAAGCAUCUAAGCACGAAACUUGCCCCGAGAUGAGUUCUCCCUGAGACUUUAGGUCUCCUGAAGGAACGUUGAAGACGACGACGUUGAUAGGCCGGGUGUGUAAGCGCAGCGAUGCGUUGAGCUAACCGGUACUAAUGAACCGUGAGGCUUAACCUUACAACGCCGAAG
Molecule: ribosomal RNA, 1864 nt
Filed under: Salmonella enterica subsp. enterica serovar Bovismorbificans
Lineage: Bacteria; Pseudomonadati; Pseudomonadota; Gammaproteobacteria; Enterobacterales; Enterobacteriaceae
Description: partial 23S ribosomal RNA
Rfam family: Bacterial large subunit ribosomal RNA
Source: RNAcentral